Molecule: RNA transcript, 3275 nt
Organism: Poeciliopsis prolifica (blackstripe livebearer)
Lineage: Eukaryota; Metazoa; Chordata; Actinopteri; Cyprinodontiformes; Poeciliidae
Gene: map6a
Gene name: microtubule-associated protein 6a
Exons: 5
Source: RefSeq, a predicted model, not a curated record
CUGGCAGCAACCGCGUCUCUAGUGGAAAUGCUUCUUAUUUGUUUCAAGCGUCAUUUCUUUCGCUAUUUUCGUUUCUAUGUAAUAAAUAAAAGCGGCUGUGUUAUGGUCUCUGUAGCAGGAAGGUCACCGUCGCUUUCAAGCUGGCGCUAAACAGGAAGUGAAACUCUCCAGCUUGACCUGAUUAUUUCCCUCUUCGGUUCCCGUCCGUGUCUCCGGGAUGCUGAGCAGCUCGGGCGGGGCCGUCACUCCUUGCAGUGCCCUGAUGUAGCAGGACGACACAGAAGGGACACGGAAGGAGCAGAGGACGGUUCUCACGGUUCAGUUCGUGAUACCACUUGUAUUUUUUUCUUUUAAUCUUCGCCAGUCUUCGGGUUGAGUAGGAUACGUGCGCGGUCUUCACGUCAAAAGCGUCGGAGCCUUCUCAUGCGGACAUCUUGAUUUUCUCACGUCGCUGUGUUUCGGGGAGCGGAGCCGUGUUUUUUCUGUCGUGUCAGCCUGGUUGGAAGUAGCGCUAUUUGAGUGUGUGUGUGUGUGUGUGUGUGUUUUGUUUGUGUGUGUUUUUUCUUUUUUGGUGGAACUCUAAACCCCACAGCAUGGCGUGGCCCUGCAUCAGCCGGGCGUGCUGCAUGGCCCGGUUCUGGAACCAGCUGGACAAGACUGACAUUGCGGUGCCUUUGGUCUUCACCAAGUACACGGACGCGUCGGAAAUGCAGCACAUCCAGCUGCAGCCGUCGCUCCAUCCUCCCCAGGCCCGGGUCGCCAUAGAGACGCAGCCGCCGCGCGCGGGAGCCCGCCUGGCGAAAGCGCCGCGCGGGCCGCGCAGGUGCGCCUCGGAGGAGCGCGUGUGCAGCUCGGUGAUGCGCGAGGACUUCAAACACUGGAAAGUGCGGCCCGAGCCCAGCUGUAAGCCCAGGAGCGAGUACCACGAGCCGGAGACGCCGUUCAACACCGAGACCCAGUACCAGAAGGACUACAAGCCCUGGCCCAUCCCGAAGAGGUACGACCACCCCUGGAUACCCAAACCCCCGCCGAGCGCCGGCGACGACCACCGACCCAGGCACGUGAAAAAGCACGUCGCGCCGGAUGCGGAAUGCGGCGUGGAGAAAGGCGCCAUUGCCGACAAGGUGCAGGAGAAAGACCUGCUGCUGCAGGGGCAGGAGAGGAAAAAGCGGUCCAGUAAGCAGGAGGGGCCGAAGAAGGUGGUCCUGAAGGUGGAGGCGGAAGGCAGGGGCAGGGCGGCGGCGGAUGCCCUGAACCGGCAGAUCAAGGAGGAGAUCUCGACUGGCACCUCCUAUAAAACCGAGUUCAAGGCGUACAAAGACGUGAAGCCAGUGAAGAUGAUUCGGGCAAAGUCUCAGUACCUGCCUCCAGACGAGAAGACGAGCUUAGAGACCAGCUACAGCGCCAACUUUAAGGCACUAGCUCCACUGCAGCCCACCGACAACAAGGCCCAGGAGAGGAGGAGGAUACGCAGUUUGUACAGCGAGCCUUACAUCGACCCUAGCAAGCAGGUUGACAGGUAUAGUGUCCCGCGCUCUAAACCUAAAAAGUCUGGAGCCGCAGCAGCAGGCCAGGGUAAACCGGUGAGGAAAGCCAAAGAUAAGCAGAGCGCCGCGCUGAAGGGCUCCAAGAAGACGACCUCGGAGAACCAGCCCGAGAACCGGCCGGCGGUCGGGGACAAGGAGAAAAGUAAAGAGAUCAACAACAAACUGGCUGAGGCAAAAGAGGUUGUGCUAAAACAGUACCACUACAUACAACUCUGCCAGCCAAUCCGAGAUAUUGGCUGGGUGCAGACCCUAAAGCAACACCUGUGGGGCUGUGCACUACCCGAUCCCAGGUAAACCCAACGCCACAAGCAAAAGAAAAGCCAAACGCAGCCAGAAAACGCCUCUCAUUCUCAUUCAUACCUGCUCAUGGAGUCGUGACCUGCUUUUGUUUUUCGAUUACAGUGGCACAGUUUUCUGAUUUUUUUCAUUUUUUUUCCUUCCUCUUUUUUAUUAUUAUUAUUAUUAUUACUGUUAUCCAGACCAAAUCACCACAUUGUCUUUGCUCGACUCCCCUCCGUGUUUCUCUUCCAUAUGGACACUAGAGUGGGAGGGGAGGGUGAGACGGAGGCCGGGUCUCACAUCCCGCCCGCGGCUUCCCUUAAGGAGGCCUGAGUUGUAGUCCAGCCAUCUCCAACUAUUCCUGAACCAGCUGCUGUGCUGCAUCCGGCCUCCAUGGUUUCUGGGAACUGCAUGAUUGAAUCUGUUUCGCUUCAAGAAGCGGUCCGCUCACAUAGUGCCUUGCGAAAGGAAUUCCAUCCCCACAACCCGCAAACUUCGGCGUAUUUUUAUUGGGAUUCUUUGCGAUGAAACCAAAAUGAAGUGGCUGUGAAGUGUGAAAAUGCAACACGGUUUCGACUUAUUUGAUGUAGAAUUUGAAAAGUGCGGUGAGCUUUUUUUUUUAUACGAUGUCCCCUAAAUAAGAUCCAGUGUUACUUCAGAAAUUACCAAAUGAGUAAAGAGUGGAUCAUUCAAAAUCAGUCUAAGUGCAAAAGUUCCCUUUAUUCAGCUAUGUAAAAGUAACAUCAUGAUUUAAACUCACCUAGUCAAAGUCCAAAGCUACGUUUUGUUAUUAUUUAUAAUUUGGCAAUAGCAGAUGCCGUCCAUCGAAGCUAACGGAACUCGAUGGACUCGUCUUGAAAACGAGCACUGGAAUAAAAAUCUGUUAAACCGUGCAUCAUUUUCCAUCCGCUCUGUGCACAACUUCAGUUCUGGUGUUGCACAUAGAACCCCAAUAAAAUAAAAAAUAAAAACAUCUAAGUUUUUAAAAAGAGCCAUGAAGUUUGAAACAUGACAGUGUCACACAGCCAACGGGGGCCGUCAACACGUUUGCCAGGUAGUGCAUGAGUCGGGUCUCUCAUGUCCUCCGCUCACAUGAACGAACUCUCUCCCGUUUCGCCCCCCAAAAAAGUCUAAGUGUUUCAUUCUUCUUCCGCACUUUGCCCUCGUUUGCAUUGGAAUGUGUUUUCUGACGCAUGCCGCCACUGUUUUCUGUUGGACCUGCAAUCUGAGUCUCACUUCCACGUAGUGGCCUAGGCCUCGCCCUCUUGAACAAGUGCUGAGCAUGGAAAUAAGAUGGAGGGUGAGUGUGAAUGGAAUGAGGGAAGCAGCGCCUCCUCGGAAAGACACAUUUCAGAGGAAAUUAGAUUCUAAAGACGAGGUUCUCCGACCCGGUCAUCGUCAUUCCCAGGGUGCUGCUGGAGGAGGAACACAGCCACUGCUGGAGGGAGG